AACGAACGCUGGCGGCAUGCCUAACACAUGCAAGUCGAACGAGACCUUCGGGUCUAGUGGCGCACGGGUGCGUAACACGUGGGAAUCUGCCCUUCGGUUCGGAAUAAACACAGAGAAAUUUGUGCUAAUACCGGAUGAUGACUUCGGUCCAAAGAUUUAUCGCCGAGGGAUGAGCCCGCGUAGGAUUAGGUAGUUGGUGGGGUAAUGGCCUACCAAGCCGACGAUCCUUAGCUGGUCUGAGAGGAUGAUCAGCCACACUGGGACUGAGACACGGCCCAGACUCCUACGGGAGGCAGCAGUGGGGAAUAUUGGACAAUGGGCGCAAGCCUGAUCCAGCAAUGCCGCGUGAGUGAUGAAGGCCUUAGGGUUGUAAAGCUCUUUUACCAGGGAUGAUAAUGACAGUACCUGGAGAAUAAGCUCCGGCUAACUCCGUGC
This 435-nucleotide ribosomal RNA is filed under the name uncultured bacterium. RNAcentral's name for it is "bacterial SSU rRNA". It matches the Rfam family "Bacterial small subunit ribosomal RNA", at positions 29 to 508 of the family's 1533-position model. The record is from RNAcentral.